Podarcis lilfordi (Lilford's wall lizard) is the source of this 71-nucleotide non-coding RNA. Lineage: Eukaryota; Metazoa; Chordata; Lepidosauria; Squamata; Lacertidae. The record is from the annotation of a GenBank genome assembly.
GGGCUGCUGUUUAGUGGUAGAGCAUCUGGUUUGCAUGUGGAAGUCCCCAGGUUCAAUCCCUGGCAUCUUCA